AUGGGUCAUCGCCGAUGGCUACCACAGAAUCAUGUAUUUCGGAGACGAAAGAAGGAGUUUGAUAACACCGAAGAGAUGGAACUUGCACCUAUAACAAUGAGUGGUAGCUCAGCUUUGAGGAUGUUGCAGGGCAGAGUGUUUGUCUUAGGAAAAAAGGUUGUUGUGGCAAAGAAAGGGAAAGGGAAAAAGAAGGGCAAAGACAGUGAAAAAGGAACUGAAGGUCCUGAAAAACAGAAGCGUAAAAGAGCGCCUAACAAGAAAUCAGGUAACGUCGCACGUAAACCUGAAAAGAAGCCUGAGGAUUGUUUCAAAAAGAAGUCGAUAUUCUUUGAUUUGGAAUACUGGGAGCACAACAAGUUAAGGCACAAUCUAGAUGUCAUGCAUAUUGAGAAAAAUGUCUUUGAAAAUUUAAUUGGAACCUUACUGGAUAUUGAUUCUAAAACAAAGGAUGGCCUUAAUGCACGACUUGACUUGGGAGAAAUUGGAAUUCGAUCUAGCCUUCAACCUCAUGAAGGUGAUAAGGGUAAAACUGAAUUGCCGCAUGCACCUUUUAAUAUGUAUAAAGAAAAGAAGGAGAUUCUUUGUACAGUGAUUAAGAAUUGUAGGACACCUGAUGGUUGUGCAUCAAACUUUUCAAGGUGUGUGAACAUGAAAGAAUUGACAUUGACUGGCCUCAAAAGCCACGACUGCCAUGUUAUUCUACAAGACAUCCUUCCUGUGGCACUUUUACACUGUUAUCCCAGUAAAGAUGUCAUGAUAUUAGUUGUUGAGCUGGCUAAUUUCUUCAAGAAACUAUGCUCCAAAGUGUUAGAUUUCUCUGAGCUUGACAAACUGCAAGAGAGUAUUGUGAAGACACUUUGUAAUAUGGAAAAGGUUUUUCUUCCAUCGUUUUUUACUGUCAUGGUACAUUUAAUGGUGCAUUUAGUUGAAGAAGCUAAACUUGGUGGCCCGGUGCAUUACAGGUGGAUGUACCCUCUAGAGAGAUCAUUUGUUUGGCUAAAGUCACUUGUGCGCAAUAGAGCUUAUCCUGAAGGUUCUAUUGCUGAAGGAUAUACUGUUGAAGAAUGCUUGACCUUUUGUUCAAGAUUUCUAGAAGGAACCACACGUUUCACAAGAACAUCUAGGAACCCUGAUCCUUCAGAUAAUACAAAGGGCAUGUACAUGUUUGAUAGUGUUGGUGAGCCAAUUGGAAAGGCUGUCACUAUAGGCCAAUUGGACGAUCAGCUUCUAGUUCAAGCACAUCGAUGUGUCUUGCGACAC
This 1260-nucleotide ribosomal RNA is filed under the name Triticum aestivum (bread wheat). RNAcentral describes it as "partial small subunit ribosomal RNA". The record is from RNAcentral. Lineage: Eukaryota; Viridiplantae; Streptophyta; Magnoliopsida; Poales; Poaceae.